CGUUGAAAAGCCAGGGGAUGACUUGUGGAUAGGGGUGAAAGGCUAAUCAAGCCUGGUGAUAGCUGGUUCUCCCCGAAAGCUAUUUAGGUAGCGCCUCGGACGAAUACCAUAGGGGGUAGAGCACUGU
This 127-nucleotide ribosomal RNA is filed under the name Acinetobacter baumannii. RNAcentral describes it as "partial 23S ribosomal RNA". It matches the Rfam family "Bacterial large subunit ribosomal RNA", at positions 787 to 913 of the family's 2925-position model. Lineage: Bacteria; Pseudomonadati; Pseudomonadota; Gammaproteobacteria; Moraxellales; Moraxellaceae. The record is from RNAcentral.